Molecule: ribosomal RNA, 468 nt
Filed under: uncultured bacterium
Lineage: Bacteria
Description: partial 16S ribosomal RNA
Rfam family: Bacterial small subunit ribosomal RNA
Source: RNAcentral
GACGAACGCUGGCGGCGUGCUUAACACAUGCAAGUCGAACGGAAAGGCCCUGCUUUUGUGGGGUGCUCGAGUGGCGAACGGGUGAGUAACACGUGAGUAACCUGCCCUUGACUUUGGGAUAACUUCAGGAAACUGGGGCUAAUACCGGAUAGGAGCUCCUGCUGCAUGGUGGGGGUUGGAAAGUUUCGGCGGUUGGGGAUGGACUCGCGGCUUAUCAGCUUGUUGGUGGGGUAGUGGCUUACCAAGGCUUUGACGGGUAGCCGGCCUGAGAGGGUGACCGGGCCAAAUGGGGAUUGAGUACGGGCCCGGACUCCUACGGGGGGCGGGGGGGGGGAUUUUGGCAAAAGGGGGGGAGGCCGGAGGGCGCAACGCCGGGUGGGGGAGGAGGGCUUUCGGGUGGAAAACCGGUUUCGCCUGGGACGAAGGGUGGGUGAGGGUAAGGGGUAAAGAGGAACCGGCAAACUACGU